UCCACGCCGUAAACGAUGUCGACUAGCCGUUGGGAUCCUUGAGAUCUUAGUGGCGCAGCUAACGCAUUAAGUCGACCGCCUGGGGAGUACGGCCGCAAGGUUAAAACUCAAAUGAAUUGACGGGGGCCCGCACAAGCGGUGGAGCAUGUGGUUUAAUUCGAAGCAACGCGAAGAACCUUACCUGGCCUUGACAUGCUGAGAACUUUCCAGAGAUGGAUUGGUGCCUUCGGGAGCUCAGACACAGGUGCUGCAU
Molecule: ribosomal RNA, 253 nt
Filed under: uncultured bacterium
Lineage: Bacteria
Description: partial 16S ribosomal RNA
Rfam family: Bacterial small subunit ribosomal RNA
Source: RNAcentral